UCUCUUCUAGUGUUGCUGCCCGUAUAGGUUCUCCAUGAAUGAAUUUAGAAGAUUGUGAGUGAUAAGAGGGGAAAAUUGUUUGAGUGAUGAAUUAAGGAGACAAAUUUGGUGAUUGGGUUUAAUUAAGAUUUCUAUUGUUGUUUCAAUUUGAUUGAUGAAAUUGGUGAUUGCUUUUAGGGUUCUUAAAUCGGAAGGAAGAAAAUCCAGGGUUAGGUAAUCGUUGGUGGUCAUGUAGCAGUUGACACCCCUUCAUUACCAGAAACACGCUUGGAAGGUAUUCGAUAGAAUUCCCAAGCCAGUUCGCUUUGUUCACCAACUUCAACUCCAACUAUUUGCAGGGAGAAACAAGACCCGAAUCUGUUUAUCCUAGCUUGGUGAUUCCAAUGGGUUUGAUCAAUUGAAUUACAAUAAUUUGUUGGUUUUUUUUAAUUUAAUUUUUUUUGCAACAAGAUAAACAGCAGCAGUGAAUUGAGGAAUGAUUCAAAACUGAGUCGCCAUCACAACUCGGUCCUAAAACUGAGUCACCAUCACAACUCGGUCCUAGUAAGAAUAUUUUGGGGGUUUAAUUGUUUUUUCAAAAAAAAACGGGAUGGAAAAGUCAAAUGAAUGGCAUUUUAUUAAUUUUGAAAAAAACAGUGGCACUUUCUUAAACAUGAAAUUGAAAGUGUGGUAUUUUAUUAAAAUCCCCUUAAAGUUUUUACAUGGGAUAAAUAUUUAAGCUGAUUUAGUGAUACUGUCCUUGAUGACAUUAUUGUAAAUUGGAGACCGAAAAUUUUCGAUCCUCCGUAGCUUUUUUACCAAUCCUCUGUAGAUUUUUUUUCCUGCCUUUCGGGUGUUCUAGUUACUUUGGUUCUCAUUUUUAGCUUUUGGGCUCUGCUCUUUUUUGCAGUGUUUUCCUUUUUGAUUUAUGUCAUUAUCUUAACCGAUCAAAAAAAAAAGAAUAGUCGUUGGCGGCCA
Molecule: long non-coding RNA, 957 nt
Organism: Papaver somniferum (opium poppy)
Lineage: Eukaryota; Viridiplantae; Streptophyta; Magnoliopsida; Ranunculales; Papaveraceae
Exons: 2
Source: RefSeq, a predicted model, not a curated record